This 1017-nucleotide long non-coding RNA is filed under the name Oreochromis niloticus (Nile tilapia). RNAcentral's name for it is "lncRNA (ENSONIG00000038820.1)". The record is from RNAcentral. Lineage: Eukaryota; Metazoa; Chordata; Actinopteri; Cichliformes; Cichlidae.
AUGUCUGUCAUGUGCAGACCUUUCUACUUGCCCAGAGAACUGCCUGCAGUGCUAAUAACAGCAGUCUACAUACCACCAGACGCUAAUGCUAGCUCAGCCCUUGCAUACCUGCACGACAUUAUCUCCGAACAGCAACGGACAUACCCAGAGGGAGUACACAUCAUUGCAGGGGAUUUCAACAGAGCAUGCUUAAGAACUGUGCUGCCUAAAUUUGUACAACAUGUGAAAUGCCCUACGAGAGGAAAUAACACCUUGGAUCAUGUUUACUCAAAUAUUAAGCAAGCCUACAGAUCUGUUCCCCUCCCCCACCUGAGCAUGUACGACCACCUCUCCAUACUCCUUGUCCCGGCAUACACACCACUCAGGAAAAGGACAAAGCACACCAUCAGAACCAUUAACACCAUUUCUGAGGAAGCUCUCACUCAAUUGCAGGACUGUUUUGCUCUCACAGAGUGGAGUGUCUUUGAACAGGAUGACCUAGAGACUCACACAACCGCAGUGCUGGGUUACAUCAAACACUGCAUGGACACUGUCACCACAGAAAAGCGGGUCCGGGUCUACCCCAACCGUAAACCCUGGAUGACAAGCAAGGUUCAGGCACUGUUAAAGGCACGCAACUCUGCAUACAAAUCUGGGGACCAGGACAUGUACAGCAGAGCAAGAGCAGACCUUAAAAAAGGCAUCAGAGCAGCAAAACUGGACUACUCAAACAAGCUAUCAGAUCACCUCUCUGAUAACAACUCCAGGAAGGUAUGGGAGGGCCUGAAACACAUCACCAAUUACAAAGCCAAUGGGACAAAUAUAGAUAACAUGGACAUCUCGUUAGCGGAGGAACUUAACCACUUUUUUGCCCGCUUCGAGAAAACUGCAGUCACCCCCCCCAUGCACACCACCCUGCCCACAGCGUCCUCUGAGCACAGCCCCCACACAUUUAGCCUCCAACAACAUCAGGUCCGCAAUGUGUUCAGAGCAGUAAAUCAGAGGAAAGCUGCUGGCCCUCGACGGAAUACCUGGUAG